This 256-nucleotide ribosomal RNA is filed under the name uncultured bacterium. RNAcentral's name for it is "partial 16S ribosomal RNA". It matches the Rfam family "Bacterial small subunit ribosomal RNA", at positions 524 to 776 of the family's 1533-position model. The record is from RNAcentral.
GACGUAGGUGGCGACCGUUAUCCGGAAUUAUUGGGCGUAAAGGGUGCGUAGGCGGCAUGAUAAGUUAUUGGCGGGAAAUCGAGGCUCAACCUCGUGGAAACUAAUAAUACUGUUUUGCUUGAGUACAGGAGAGGUUAACGGAACUCCAUGUGGAGCGGUAAAAUGUGUAGAUAUAUGGAAGAUCAUCAAUAACGGCGAAGGCAGUUAACUAUUCUGUUACUGACGUUGAGGCACGAAAGCGUGGGGAGCAAAACGG